AAUGUGUCUUGGCUAAUGUGUCUUGGCUAAGGUGUCUUGGCUAAUGUGUCCUGGCUAAUGUGUCUUGGCUAAUGUGUCUUGGCUAAUGUGUCUUGGCUAUGGUGUCUUGGCUAAGGUGUCUUGGCUAAGGUGUCCUGGCUAAUGUGUCUUGGCUAAUGUGUCUUGGCUAAGGUGUCUUGGCUAAUGUGUCUUGGCUAAGGUGUCUUGGCUAAUGUGUCUUGGCUAAGGUGUCUUGGCUAAGGUGUCUUGGCUAAGGUGUCUUGGCUAAGGUGUCUUGGCUAAUGUGUCUUGGCUAAUGUGUCUUGGCU
Molecule: long non-coding RNA, 308 nt
Organism: Anopheles funestus (African malaria mosquito)
Lineage: Eukaryota; Metazoa; Arthropoda; Insecta; Diptera; Culicidae
Exons: 3
Source: RefSeq, a predicted model, not a curated record